CAUGUGGAUCACCGUUUGAGGACUUCUACCUUAGAGUCUUGUGAAAAAUACCAACUUACCACUUUUCUAUUUUGGUUAAAGUAUAAUAUUCUAUCUCUUUGCAUGCUUGAAUUUGCUUUGAUCGUGUUCGGCAAGGUGAUUCUAGGGUUUUGGGUUAGGCUCAAUAGUUUUAUUUGAUAAAGCUAUUGAUUUGAGUGUUUUAAAAAAAUUUUAAAAAUCACUUUCUACUGUAUGGCCAGAACCCAAUAUUCUCUUCCUCGAUC
RNAcentral lists this long non-coding RNA (263 nucleotides) under Elaeis guineensis (African oil palm). RNAcentral describes it as "long non-coding RNA (EGUI_LNC065444)". Lineage: Eukaryota; Viridiplantae; Streptophyta; Magnoliopsida; Arecales; Arecaceae. The record is from RNAcentral.